GUCCUUAGUUACCAGCACGUUAUGGUGGGCACUCUAAGGAGACUGCCGGUGCAAACCGGAGGAAGGUGGGGAUGACGUCAAGUCAUCAUGGCCCUUACGGCCUGGGCUACACACGUGCUACAAUGGUCGGUACAAAGGGUUGCCAAGCCGCGAGGUGGAGCUAAUCCCAUAAAACCGAUCGUAGUCCGGAUCGCAGUCUGCAACUCGACUGCGUGAAGUCGGAAUCGCUAGUAAUCGUGAAUCAGAAUGUCACGGUGAAUACGUUCCCGGGCCUU
This 275-nucleotide ribosomal RNA is filed under the name uncultured Pseudomonas sp. RNAcentral describes it as "partial 16S ribosomal RNA". It matches the Rfam family "Bacterial small subunit ribosomal RNA", at positions 1107 to 1382 of the family's 1533-position model. Lineage: Bacteria; Pseudomonadati; Pseudomonadota; Gammaproteobacteria; Pseudomonadales; Pseudomonadaceae. The record is from RNAcentral.